AUAAUGAUACUUCUGGCGAAAGUCAGUCACAUAGAAAAGAUGAUGGUGCAAGUCCAAUGU
Regulatory RNA element from Lachnospiraceae bacterium, 60 nucleotides. It matches the Rfam family "pemK RNA". The record is from Rfam. Lineage: Bacteria; Bacillati; Bacillota; Clostridia; Lachnospirales; Lachnospiraceae.